RNAcentral lists this ribosomal RNA (501 nucleotides) under Alternaria alternata. RNAcentral's name for it is "eukaryotic LSU rRNA". The stretch from base 149 to 302 matches the Rfam family "5.8S ribosomal RNA". The record is from RNAcentral. Lineage: Eukaryota; Fungi; Ascomycota; Dothideomycetes; Pleosporales; Pleosporaceae.
GGGCUGGAACUCUCGGGGUUCAGCCUUGCUGAAUUAUUCACCCUUGUCUUUUGCGUACUUCUUGUUUCCUUGGUGGGUUCGCCCACCACUAGGACAAACAUAAACCUUUUGUAAUUGCAAUCAGCGUCAGUAACAAAUUAAUAAUUACAACUUUCAACAACGGAUCUCUUGGUUCUGGCAUCGAUGAAGAACGCAGCGAAAUGCGAUAAGUAGUGUGAAUUGCAGAAUUCAGUGAAUCAUCGAAUCUUUGAACGCACAUUGCGCCCUUUGGUAUUCCAAAGGGCAUGCCUGUUCGAGCGUCAUUUGUACCCUCAAGCUUUGCUUGGUGUUGGGCGUCUUGUCUCUAGCUUUGCUGGAGACUCGCCUUAAAGUAAUUGGCAGCCGGCCUACUGGUUUCGGAGCGCAGCACAAGUCGCACUCUCUAUCAGCAAAGGUCUAGCAUCCAUUAAGCCUUUUUUUCAACUUUUGACCUCGGAUCAGGUAGGGAUACCCGCUGAACUU